Molecule: long non-coding RNA, 445 nt
Filed under: Mytilus galloprovincialis (Mediterranean mussel)
Lineage: Eukaryota; Metazoa; Mollusca; Bivalvia; Mytilida; Mytilidae
Source: RNAcentral
GUUUGAGAAUUUGAAAACCUUUGAGAUCCCCACCCCUUAACCAUAUAUAUUCAUGUAUGGGACAAUAUAACAAUUCAAAUGAAAUAUAGGGGAGUCCCUGGGGUCACCGUACACCCUCAUGUUUGAGAACUUGGAAAUGGUCAAGAUCCUCACCCCUAAACCAUAUAUACUCAUUUAUGGGACAAUAAUGAAAUAAAGGGGAAGUCCCUGUGGUGACCCCACCUCUCCUGUUUGAGAACAUGGAAACGGUUGAGAUCCCAACACCGAAACCAUAUAUAUUCAUGUAUAGGACAAUAUAACAAAUAAAAUGAAAUUAAGGGGAAGUCUCUUGGGUCACCAUACCCCUUCCUGUUUGAGAACUUGAAAACCGUUGAGAUCCCCACCCCUAAACCAUAUAUAUUCAUGUAUGGGACAAAAUAACAAAUCAUUUACAUUUACUAUGGGC